RNAcentral lists this ribosomal RNA (305 nucleotides) under uncultured bacterium. RNAcentral describes it as "partial 16S ribosomal RNA". It matches the Rfam family "Bacterial small subunit ribosomal RNA", at positions 335 to 640 of the family's 1533-position model. The record is from RNAcentral.
GGUCCUACGGGGGGCAGCAGUGGGGAAUAUUGCACAAUGGGGGAAACCCUGAUGCAGCGACGCCGCGUGAGUGAAGAAGUAUUUCGGUACGUAAAGCUCUAUCAGCAGGGAAGAAAAAAAGUCCUUUGGACUUUGGACGGUACCUGACCAAGAAGCCCCGGCUAACUACGUGCCAGCAGCCGCGGUAAUACGUAGGGGGCAAGCGUUAUCCGGAUUCACUGGGCGUAAAGGGAGCGCAGGCGGCACGGCAAGCCUGGUGUGAAAACCCGGGGCCCAACCCCGGGGGUGCAUUGGGAACUGCCGCG